CAUGGUGAAAUUUAGCUAGACAAAUUACAAAGCAAUGAAACAAAAACAAUUCGGAAUUAACGAGAUUAGUAUAAAUUUGUUUGUUCGGCGCGUUUCAUGGAGAAAAUUUUGUGGAUUUAUUAUCAAUCGACAAAUAUUGUGAAAAGCUAUUCCAUAUGUAUGUAUUUGCAUAAUAUUGGAAAUAAAAUAAAUGUGAAAGGCACGUUAAACAUUUCUGAAUAGAAAUAAAUAAUAAUUUGCUGGAAAUGAGAAUAAGUAAGAAAUGUGGCUUUCCGGCGUUUCGUCUCCCUGCCGGCGGGGAAUUUUUCUAAUGCUUGCAAGGCGAAUUUAUCUCUUGGCGCUCCCAGCAGCUGCGCCAAGAUAUUCACCACACUUUAGUACCGUUGGUGCUGCCGUAAUAUUAUUAAAAUAUUUUUGAUCUUUUUAACAAAACUGAUAAUAUGGCGUCAAACAUAAAGUUAUAGGGAAAUUGUACAACUAGGAAAUUAAAUUGGAAAUGCUAUAAUUUGCUUACCGAACAAAUUCAAUUUCGUUUAAUUGUUUAAACUUCUUUACUUGCUUCUGUGGCAACACCUUAACUAUUUGUGUAUCUGCAGUGGGUAUUUUAAUGCGAGUCCAAAUAAAUAUGCAAGACAAGUUUUGCAGCGACUUUGGAGCACUACGGAAGUUUUUGCGGCUGACAGCGCCAGAUAAACCAGCGCCCUAGUGCAACGCCAAGUCGGGGAUACAAAAGAAA
Ceratitis capitata (Mediterranean fruit fly) is the source of this 736-nucleotide long non-coding RNA. RefSeq lists it as uncharacterized. The transcript has 2 exons. The record is from RefSeq and is a predicted model, not a curated record. Lineage: Eukaryota; Metazoa; Arthropoda; Insecta; Diptera; Tephritidae.